This 253-nucleotide ribosomal RNA is filed under the name uncultured bacterium. RNAcentral describes it as "partial 16S ribosomal RNA". It matches the Rfam family "Bacterial small subunit ribosomal RNA", at positions 524 to 776 of the family's 1533-position model. The record is from RNAcentral.
UACGUAGGGGGCAAGCGUUGUCCGGAAUUAUUGGGCGUAAAGAGCGUGUAGGCGGUCCGGUAAGUCAGCUGUGAAAGUCCAGGGCUCAACCCUGGGAUGCGGGUGGAUACUGUCGGGCUCGAGUCCGGAAGAGGCGAGUGGAAUUCCCGGUGUAGCGGUGAAAUGCGCAGAUAUCGGGAGGAACACCAAUGGCGAAGGCAGCUCGCUGGGACGUGACUGACGCUGAGACGCGAAAGCGUGGGGAGCAAACAGG